UCUUCCCUCUGUCGGCGUGCUUAACACAUGCAAGUCGAACGGAAAGGCUCCUGCUUGCAGGGGUACUCGAGUGGCGAACGGGUGAGUAACACGUGGGUGAUCUGCCCUGCACUUCGGGAUAAGCCUGGGAAACUGGGUCUAAUACCGGAUAGGACCACAUUUUGGAUGGUGUGGUGGAAAGUUUUUCGGUGUGGGAUGAGCUCGCGGCCUAUCAGCUUGUUGGUGGGGUAAUGGCCUACCAAGGCGUCGACGGGUAGCCGGCCUGAGAGGGUGUACGGCCACAUUGGGACUGAGAUACGGCCCAGACUCCUACGGGAGGCAGCAGUGGGGAAUAUUGCACAAUGGGCGCAAGCCUGAUGCAGCGACGCCGCGUGGGGGAUGACGGCCUUCGGGUUGUAAACUCCUUUCGCUAGGGACGAAGCGUUUUUGUGACGGUACCUGGAGAAGAAGCACCGGCUAACUACGUG
Molecule: ribosomal RNA, 467 nt
Filed under: uncultured bacterium
Lineage: Bacteria
Description: partial 16S ribosomal RNA
Rfam family: Bacterial small subunit ribosomal RNA
Source: RNAcentral